GACGAACGCUGGCGGCGUGCUUAACACAUGCAAGUCGAACGGAAAGGCCCUGCUUUUGUGGGGUGCUCGAGUGGCGAACGGGUGAGUAACACGUGAGUAACCUGCCCUUGACUUUGGGAUAACUUCAGGAAACUGGGGCUAAUACCGGAUAGGAGCUCCUGCUGCAUGGUGGGGGUUGGAAAGUUUCGGCGGUUGGGGAUGGACUCGCGGGUUAUCAGCUUGUUGGUGGGGUAGUGGCUUACCAAGGCUUUGACGGGUAGCCGGCCUGAGAGGGGGACCGGCCACAUUGGGACUGAGAUACGGCCCAGACUCCUACGGGAGGCAGCAGUGGGGAAUAUUGCACGAUGGGCGGAAGCCUGAUGCAGCAACGCCGCGUGCGGGAUGACGGCCUUCGGGUUGUAAACCGCUUUCGCCUGUGACGAAGCGUGAGUGACGGUAAUGGGUAAAGAAGCACCGGCUAACUACGUG
Molecule: ribosomal RNA, 468 nt
Filed under: uncultured bacterium
Lineage: Bacteria
Description: partial 16S ribosomal RNA
Rfam family: Bacterial small subunit ribosomal RNA
Source: RNAcentral